GGGCCAUUCAAAUGUAAAGCUCCAGUUGGCUGCUACUUUUUGUAUAUCCAAUCUCAUAUGGAGUGAAGAGGAAGGUUCCCAUGAACGACAAGAUAAGCUGAGAGAAUUAGGAGUAGUAGAUAUUUUACGUAAAUUGGUUCAAACUACAGAUCUCAACCUUUCUGACAAGGCAAAAACAGCGCUGCAACA
Molecule: long non-coding RNA, 189 nt
Organism: Amblyraja radiata (thorny skate)
Lineage: Eukaryota; Metazoa; Chordata; Chondrichthyes; Rajiformes; Rajidae
Exons: 3
Source: RefSeq, a predicted model, not a curated record